Molecule: long non-coding RNA, 1246 nt
Filed under: Nicotiana tabacum (common tobacco)
Lineage: Eukaryota; Viridiplantae; Streptophyta; Magnoliopsida; Solanales; Solanaceae
Description: long non-coding RNA (NTAB_LNC018716)
Source: RNAcentral
UCCAGUAAGAGGGUAUUAUUGAGAGGCUACUUUGUUGUUGGGCUUGUAAUAAGUUAUCAAAGUACAACCAACACCCAGCCAUGCACAUCUGAAUAGAUGAUUAGCGUAUCAAUCUUUCCUCCAAAAACUAACCAUUCUAAAAGUAUUACUAUUAACUCUGAAAUCAUGUGUGAAAAAUUAACAUUAGAAAAUUAAAAUGUUCCUCAGUCCACAGCUAAUCAAACGAUCAAGUAGAAAGCAUGAACCUAAACUAUUCUAUAUCAACCAGCCCCAAUUAAUGGCCAAAUCUUCACUGCCCAGGACAAUUUCACAAAAAAAAUCAUAUGGUCAUAGCAUUUAGUUUUAAGCUUAACCUAAAAAAAAAAAAAAAAAAGCCUUAACCGAAGGUGGGAAAAAAAAAACCAACCACAGAAUUCUUAAAGUCACGUUAUACCUAAAAAUAAUAAAAAAAUAAAAAAAUAAAGUCACGUUAUACCUCAAAACAUUUAACCAAAUAAGCAAAUCAAAAUUAAGAAGCAUUUGUUUGACUAAGGGAACAAACAUAGCAUUUAACUGGAGAAGAAAAGGAACGAGAAAAAUCAGAUCAAUCAUAAUAUUGAACAAUAGAUAAACAUGGACCUUUUAUUAAUUUGCAAAAUUGUCAACAGCUCCGACCGGUAUACAAAGACGAGCACGCUGCAUCUGAAGAUGAGUAAGACCUGGAGCUCUACACCUCACUCGACCGCGGAACCAAUGCCGGCAACCUUGACAGAACUCGAACUGAAAAUUUUCCGGCGACAUCGAUUUCGAGCGCAGAGUUUCAAUGCAAGAUUUCAGAGCUAAAACAGUGACCUUUUGGUGUAAAUUUCUAGCUGGCACGAGAUGGAUUUAUAGGAGGAGAAGUUGAAGUGUUGAUGGCUGUUUUUGGGACUUUUUGGUGUGGGAAUUUCAGCUGGGUUUUCAGAGCUUUAACAUGGGUUUGGGGUUGGUUUGAGCUCGAGUUUUAGAGCUGAAAAUGGUGGUGCUCAUGGUGUUGCUGCUCGGCUGGAGCUCGUUUUUCCGGCGAGCUGCUGGAGCUCAUCUUUCCGGCGAGCUGCUGGAGGAGGAAGACGAAGAGAGCAGCAACUGGUCCUUUUGUGCUUAAAACUCUCUUUUGGUCUUUAGCGUUAGGUCUCUAAGGUUCAAAUGGCUGCCCUUUUUUUUGUUUUCUCCUUUAGAAGAUGAAGACAGCUCUUGAAAUGUGAAAAGAAGCCUAGAAUUAGAGUGC